This 299-nucleotide signal recognition particle RNA is filed under the name Saimiri boliviensis boliviensis (Bolivian squirrel monkey). Its description in RNAcentral is "Metazoan signal recognition particle RNA (ENSSBOG00000014605.1)". It matches the Rfam family "Metazoan signal recognition particle RNA". From Rfam's summary of the family: The signal recognition particle (SRP) is a universally conserved ribonucleoprotein. It is involved in the co-translational targeting of proteins to membranes. Lineage: Eukaryota; Metazoa; Chordata; Mammalia; Primates; Cebidae. The record is from RNAcentral.
GCCGGGUACAGUGGCUUGUGCCUGUAGUCCCAACUACUCAGGAGGCUGAGGCUGGAGGAUCGCUUGAGUCCAGGAGUUCUGGGCUGUAGUGCGCUAUGCUGACCGGGUGUCCGCACUAAGCUCGGCAACAAUAUGGUGACCUCCCGGGAGUGGGGGACCACCAGGUUGCCUACGGAGUGGUGAACCGGCCCAGGUCGGAAACGGAGCAGGUCAAAAUUCCCGUGCUGAUCAGUAGUGGGAUUGCGCCUGUGAACAGCCACUGCACUCCAGCCCGGGCAACAUAGUGAGACCCCGUCUCU